Xyrichtys novacula (pearly razorfish) is the source of this 499-nucleotide non-coding RNA. The record is from the annotation of a GenBank genome assembly. NCBI's taxonomy places the organism in Eukaryota, Metazoa, Chordata, Actinopteri, Labriformes, Labridae.
GCCAAAUUCUGUUGAGUUCUGUGAUCUUACCCACCAUGAAAACAUUGAAACAAAUUCUCCUUGAAUUUAAUUUUUUCUCUCUUUUUGCAUCCCAAAAUAUCAUUUCAUUUGAUAUCAUUAAGAUAAAGUUGAGUUGAGUUGCACCAUCACUAAUCAUACAUGCAUCAUUCUGUAAAAGUAAAGAACAGGUGAAGGAAUAGCACUUUGAACUACAAAUAAGAAAACAACUGUGAAUGAAAGAAAACAUCAAACCUUCUGCUGCUUUAGUUAUCUCAGUCUUUUGCAUGUCACAGAAGUGACGAUUGCUGAAAAAGUUUGUGAUUUAUGUAAAAUGUACUAUAAUUAUUUAUGAUUUGAACCUCUGUGCAGUGUUAAGUUUUCAUUUUAAAUUUUGUAAAUAUUUUCUUUGACUGAAAAUCCUGGAUGAAUGAAUUCAUUACCAGAGGGAACUUGAGUUUUUCCAGUUUUGAAGGAAAUAAAAAAAAGAAAUACACCAAAA